Long non-coding RNA from Hemicordylus capensis (graceful crag lizard), 435 nucleotides. RefSeq lists it as uncharacterized. The transcript is spliced from 4 exons. NCBI's taxonomy places the organism in Eukaryota, Metazoa, Chordata, Lepidosauria, Squamata, Cordylidae. The record is from RefSeq and is a predicted model, not a curated record.
GGUGGAAUGAUGAGAGCUGUUGUCCAUUAACAUCUGUCAACCCAAAGUUGGGAACCCCUACUACAGUUUAUUACAACAGCUUUUGUCAUCCGUGAUUUAACUGAAGACAUCCUCCACCACGUCCGUCAAUCCGAUCAGAUCUGGGAAGUAUAUUUACUUCGCAGCACACAAGGACAGUAGCCACCAGCACCGAGGACAAGCCCUGUGUCGCGUCGUCACUGCGUGUGCAGUUUGUUUCUAAAGCAGAGAGAUUUAUUUCCACUUUUGGAAGAAGCCAUCAAUUGUGGGCGGCUUAAAUCCCUGCACUUGCAGAAUCCCUGCACGUCUCAUUAGUGGGGAAACAAGAUACGACAACAACGGCAUUGAAUAUUCACAUACCAUUUGGAUUCACUCUGGGAAGGAGAAAAAAGCCUUAACCAAGGGGGAAUGGAGACG